RNAcentral lists this ribosomal RNA (525 nucleotides) under uncultured bacterium. RNAcentral's name for it is "bacterial SSU rRNA". It matches the Rfam family "Bacterial small subunit ribosomal RNA", at positions 984 to 1509 of the family's 1533-position model. The record is from RNAcentral.
ACAUCCAGCGAACUUGGCAGAGAUGCCUUGGUGCCUUCGGGAACGCUGAGACAGGUGCUGCAUGGCUGUCGUCAGCUCGUGUUGUGAAAUGUUGGGUUAAGUCCCGNAACGAGCGCAACCCUUAUCCUUUGUUGCCAGCGAUUCGGUCGGGAACUCAAAGGAGACUGCCGGUGAUAAACCGGAGGAAGGUGGGGAUGACGUCAAGUCAUCAUGGCCCUUACGAGUAGGGCUACACACGUGCUACAAUGGCGCAUACAAAGAGAAGCGACCUCGCGAGAGCAAGCGGACCUCAUAAAGUGCGUCGUAGUCCGGAUCGGAGUCUGCAACUCGACUCCGUGAAGUCGGAAUCGCUAGUAAUCGUGGAUCAGAAUGCCACGGUGAACACGUUCCCGGGCCUUGUACACACCGCCCGUCACACCAUGGGAGUGGGUUGCAAAAGAAGUAGGUAGCUUAACCUUCGGGAGGGCGCUUACCACUUUGUGAUUCAUGACUGGGGUGAAGUCGUAACAAGGUAAGCGUAGCGAG